GACGAACGCUGGCGGCGUGCUUAACACAUGCAAGUCGAACGAGGAACGAGGGAGCUUGCUCGCUCCGGAGCGUUGGCGAACGGGUCAGUAACACGUGAUCAAUCUGCCCCGAACUCUGGGAUAAUCGUUGGAAACGACGUCUAAUACCCGAUACGUCGCGGGAGGUCAUCCUCUCCGCGUGGAAUGAACUUCGUGUCGGGGUGAGAUCGGGCCCUGUCAGCUUGUUGUUGGGGUAACGGCUCAACAAGGCGACGACGUGGAGCCGGGCUGCGGGGGUGACAGGCCAAACUAGGAUUGAGACACGGCCCAGACUCGUACGGGAGGCAGCGGUGGAGAAUAGUGCACUAUGGGCGGAAGCAAGGUGUAGCCCAGCCGCGCGGGGGAAGACGGCAAUCGGGUUGUAAACCUAUUUUAGCAGGGAAGAAGCGAUAGUGACGGUACCUGGAGAAAAAGCACCGGCUAACUACGUG
Molecule: ribosomal RNA, 470 nt
Filed under: uncultured bacterium
Lineage: Bacteria
Description: partial 16S ribosomal RNA
Rfam family: Bacterial small subunit ribosomal RNA
Source: RNAcentral